Molecule: long non-coding RNA, 2202 nt
Filed under: Olea europaea subsp. europaea
Lineage: Eukaryota; Viridiplantae; Streptophyta; Magnoliopsida; Lamiales; Oleaceae
Source: RNAcentral
GAAGCAUAUAAACUGUUUCUUACAUGUAAUUUUAUUUGCAGUAUUUGAAUGUUAUGCCUAAGGAGGAAAGCAAGUCUUUCCUGACUUUUGUUAUUCCUCAUGAAAAAGAGAAGCUAUUGACGGUACAAAACCCUCACUUUGUCAACUGUUCCUUAUUUCAAUCGUUAAUGUAUGAUUUUAAUGAAAAAUUCAAAGGUUAAUAAUGCAAAAAGGGUUCAAAAAUAAAAAGAGACACAAUUAAAAUGGGUUUUAAAAAUUUAUCGUACUAACGUACUUAUUUGGAUAAAAAUUCUAUCAGAAAUUUUUUGAGGAGCUCCAAGAGAAAGUGAAAGAAUACGGCAUAGCAGACAUCCAACUUGGUCUUACAACUUUGGAAGAAGUUUUUCUGAAUAUAGUAAAACAGGCUGAAUUGGAAAGUGCUGCGUCUGAGGGAAGCUUUGCAACUAUGACUCUAAACUCAGGAAUUUCAGUUCAGGUAAAGCAUAUUUGCAUUACUCAGUUCAUACUAGUGUAAGUGUGUCCAGCUAAGCCUAAAAAAUACUUAAUAAAUAAAUAAUUUUCUUGUUGGUACAAUUUUAAUUUUUUUUUGCCGGAAAAUCCACUUGAACUUGGGCGAGUUUUAGGUUGACUCAACUAAGCCAAGUGGUUGCCCUCCUGCCCAGAUAUUGAUAGAAAGGAUUAUUACAUAGAGGGGGACGUGGACCUUACCUCCUAGUUGAACAAAUGAGGAGUUUAGAUCAGCUAAAUUACUAAAUUCAACAACGAAUUAAGUGAGCAGACUAACAAACCCUUUGUGUCCUUGGCGAUUAUUUACACUCUUAAAGUUGGAAGCCCCUUAUAUCUGGGCGCAAAAUUCUUUUGAUUUCACCAGUUAGCUCUUGAGGGUAUAGUAGCUUGAACUGCCUUUCUUUAUACUCAGUAUGAGCCACCAAUCAGUGACCCCAUUACUUUCUCUCCAAAAGGCAACAGCAUCGCUUUGAAACUAUCAUUCUUCCGCUAAUAUUGAAUUUCCUCCAACUGGUAUUGUACUCUGCACGGCCAUGUAGAUUGUUUGCAAAUUAAUUUAAUAGAGGCCUUGGAAAGAACCUCCAUACUUCCUUAGCAACAAUGCCAUAUAAUAGCACAUGUUCAACUAAUUCAUAUUUUGCCACCGGAACUUACAAGUUCUGCUAAUUUUCAUUAUAAUUUGCACCUCUUCUGUCUAAUGUCAAUAAGUCGUGCCAUGUUUUCCAUGUGAAAAAUGAGACCUUUAAAGUGAUAAAUUUCUUCCAUAUUUAUUUGUCCAAGGAUUUGAUAUUUAUCCUUUGCCCAAGUACUUCCAACAUAGAGCACUAGAGGCUCCAUUGCUAAUUAGUUUGCAGUAGAUUAUGUCAUGGCCUUUAAUAUAAGGAGGAAUUCUUAUUAUAUCUUCGAUCAUACAAUUAAGCUGUAAAGUAUUAAGCGUACCUACAUCCAAAGCUGCUCUCUUUCAUAAGUUGAACAGUUAUGAGUUAGUGCUCCGAUUGUCAGACCAAAAGGAAAUAUUUCCCAGCCUCAGUUUCCAAAAUACGUGGUUCUGAUGCUUCCCUAACGGCUAGAAGUCUCUUCCAAACAGACAAGUCUUUCCCUUAGUUUGAUCUUGACAAGGAUGAUAAUUUUGACAAUACCUAGAUUUAGUAUCCCGAACGCAGUUUGUGCCCUAAAUUUCCACCAGAGCUUCCAUGAAAGAAGUAAGUUAAUUAUUUUGAAAGUAAAUUUUAUCUUAAUGCGCAGGUACCUGUAGGUGCGAGGUUUGUUGGGGUUCCAGGAACUGAAUCUACAGAAAAUCCAAGAGGAAUUAUGGUAGAGGUAUAUUGGGAACAAGAUGAUGCCGGAGCACUCUGCAUUUCCGGUCACUCAGAUGAGACACCAAUCCCUCCUCAUGUACAACUAAGAGCAACAUCUGCUCCCACAUCUGGCAUAAGUAUUUUGGGCCGAAGACAGCAAAUUCAUGGAAUUGUAAUUGACCCUGACCAAAUCACCAAUUCAAAUAUGUGAUCUUUGUUGAAAUGUUAUCUAGUAGGAUAUUUAGUGUACACAAUAAUUAGAAAUGGUGUUGAGAAUCAAUUUUCUUUUUUUUUUUCCCCUGUAUCUUUGCAUAAACAUAGGAUGUAUCAUUCCUUUUCCAGCCAACAUUAUAUGCUUGUAAUAUUUAAAAAGUUAUAUACUAGGGCAAUAUUCAGA